Molecule: ribosomal RNA, 507 nt
Filed under: uncultured bacterium
Lineage: Bacteria
Description: partial 16S ribosomal RNA
Rfam family: Bacterial small subunit ribosomal RNA
Source: RNAcentral
GACGAACGCUGGCGGCGUGCUUAACACAUGCAAGUCGAACGGGCCUUGUCCCCUUUUUUUUGGGGGUGGGGUUAGUGGCGAACGGGUGAGUAACACGUGAGUAACCUGCCCCUCACUUCUGGAUAACCGCUUGAAAGGGUGGCUAAUACGGGGUGUUCUGGCCUGCUCGCAUGGGUGGGUUUGGAAAGAUUCGACCGGUUUUGGUUGUUUUGGUGGGGGAUGGGCUCGCGGCCUAUCAGCUUGUUGGUGGGGUGAUGGCCUGCCAAGGCUUUGACGGGUAGCCGGCCUGAGAGGGUGGGCGGUCACACUGGGACUGAGACACGGUCCAGACUCCUACGGGAGGCAGCAGUGGGGAAUAUUGCACAAUGGGCGCAAGCCUGAUGCAGCGACGCCGCGUGAGGGAUGGAGGCCUUCGGGUUGUGAACCUCUUUCGCCAGUGAAGAAGGUCCUGCUCUUUGUGGUGGGGUUGACGGUAGCUGGGUUAAUGAAGCGCCGGCUAACUACGUG